AAAAGAAACCAACAGGGAUUGCCUCAGUAACGGCGAGUGAAGCGGCAAAAGCUCAAAUUUGAAAUCUAGCACUUUCAGUGUUCGAGUUGUAAUUUGAAGAAGGUAACUUUGGUUUUGGCUCUUGUCUAUGUUCCUUGGAACAGGACGUCACAGAGGGUGAGAAUCCCGUGCGAUGAGAUGCCCAAUUCCAUGUAAAGUGCUUUCGAAGAGGUCGAGUUGUUUGGGAAUGCAGCUCUAAGUGGGUGGUAAAUUCCAUCUAAAGCUAAAUAUUGGCGAGAGACCGAUAGCGAACAAGUACAGUGAUGGAAAGAUGAAAAGAACUUUGAAAAGAGAGUGAAAAAGUACGUGAAAUUGUUGAAAGGGAAGGGCUUGAGAUCAGACUUGGUAUUUUGCGUUCCCUUCCUUUUUGGUUGGGUUCCUCGCAGUUUACUGGGCCAGCAUCGGUUUGGAUGGUAGGAUGAAUGACAUUGGAAUGUAGCUUUACUUCGGUGAAGUGUUAUAGACUUUGUUGAUACUGCCUAUCUAGACCGAGGACUGCGUCUUUGACUAGGAUGCUGGCGUAAUGAUCUUAAGCCGCCC
Molecule: ribosomal RNA, 579 nt
Filed under: Dujonia zeylanoides
Lineage: Eukaryota; Fungi; Ascomycota; Pichiomycetes; Serinales; Debaryomycetaceae
Description: [Candida] zeylanoides partial large subunit ribosomal RNA
Rfam family: Eukaryotic large subunit ribosomal RNA
Source: RNAcentral